GACGAACGCUGGCGGCGUGCUUAACACAUGCAAGUCGAACGGAAAGGCCCUGCUUUUGUGGGGUGCUCGAGUGGCGAACGGGUGAGUAACACGUGAGUAACCUGCCCUUGACUUUGGGAUAACUUCAGGAAACUGGGGCUAAUACCGGAUAGGAGCUCCUGCUGCAUGGUGGGGGUUGGAAAGUUUCGGCGGUUGGGGAUGGACUCGCGGCUUAUCAGCUUGUUGGUGGGGUAGUGGCUUACCAAGGCUUUGACGGGUAGCCGGCCUGAGAGGGUGACCGGCCACAUUGGGACUGGGGUACGGCCCGGACUCCUACGGGAGGCAGCAGUGGGGAAUAUUGCACAAUGGGCGGAGGCCUGAUGCAGCAACGCCGCGUGCGGGAUGACGGCCUUCGGGUUGUAAACCGCUUUCGCCUGUGACGAAGCGUGAGUGACGGUAAUGGGUAAAGAAGCACCGGCUAACUACGU
Molecule: ribosomal RNA, 467 nt
Filed under: uncultured bacterium
Lineage: Bacteria
Description: partial 16S ribosomal RNA
Rfam family: Bacterial small subunit ribosomal RNA
Source: RNAcentral